This 5114-nucleotide long non-coding RNA is filed under the name Gossypium barbadense (sea-island cotton). Its description in RNAcentral is "long non-coding RNA (GBAR_LNC006391)". Lineage: Eukaryota; Viridiplantae; Streptophyta; Magnoliopsida; Malvales; Malvaceae. The record is from RNAcentral.
AAAAGUAUGUCUACUCAGAUUGUGGACACCAUCACUCACCUGCCCCCUUCAACCCGAUUUCAUCAUGAAAUUGAAGUUCGUCAUCUUUUCUUUUCCUUUCUCAUUUUGUUUUUUUUUUCCAAAUCUUCCUUAAACCCUACAAAAUCUCCUCUCUUGCCUCCAAAAAUGGAGCUCUGAUCUCUUGAACCCAUCCUUGGAUCGUCUUUUUGACUACUCGGAUCAUGAAAGAGAUUACUCGAAACCUAUGAAGUGGAUAUAGGUGAAGGGAUGGGUUUUGGAUAUGAGGGAGAAAAGAUGAAAAGAAAAAAAAAUGGAGGUCUAUAGAAAGAAUUAUAAGCUGGUAGAAUAGUUUGUUUUUCUGUUUUGGAUUAGUUAAGUAUUGAGAUACUAUAAAUAUUUAAUUGUAUUCUUAUGAAAUAAGAUAGAAGCAUUUUUUUAAAAAAAAUAUUUUAACAUGGUAUCAUGUGAGCCAAUUUUUCUCUGGGCAGUUGGGCCACAUUUUUUUUCUUCUUGGGCUCGUUCCUGUUCUCUUUGUUCCUAAUCUGUUUAGGGCACAAAUUCUAAUUUUUUUUCCUUUCUCUUUCGAUUCAUUAUCGUUUCUUUUUCUUCGUGAUUCUCUGCUGUUUUUUUUACUCAUGGCGGAUAUUGAUUUUCAUCAUCCUUUGUUCCUUCAUCUGUCGGAUACACCGGGCACCAUUCUUAUUUCUCAUCGUUUGACCGGUGUUGAGAACUAUUCUGUUUGGAGUCGUUCGCUUUGAAUUGCCUUGCUCGCAAAGAACAAGCUCGGGUUCGUUGAUGGUGAUUGCAGCUAUUCGACGUAUCCGGACUCUCUUUGUACUUAAUGGGAUCGCUGCAAUGCUUUUGUUCUUUCUUGGAUUCUAAACACAGUGAGUCCAGAUUUAUCUGCGGGGCUUGUAUUUACUUCUGAUUCUGCUGCGGUUUGGACGGAUCUCAAGGAUCGCUUUAGCAAGGUGGACGGUUCCCGUAUUUUCUUUCUUCAUCAAUCUAUUGCACAUCUCACUUAAGGUGAUGCUACUGUUUCUUCUUAUUUCACGCAAUUGAAAUUGCUUUGAGAUGAAUAUACUGCUCUCGUCCCUCUUUUCACUUGUGAUUGUGAGGUCGCCCAGCAAAAUUCGAGCCAUCUUCAUCAACAACGAUUGUUUCAGUUCUUGAUGGGUCUCAAUGAGACCUAUGCUGCCGUUCGUAGUCAGAUCCUCUUGAUGCAGCCUUUACCUUCGGUAAAUAGAGCUUAUUCCAUGAUCGUCCAAGAAGAAGCUCAACGGAGUCUUUCCUCUGUUCUACCUCAUGCUUCCGAACCUAUCGAUUUGCUUUCUACCGUUUCUAGCAACCAUAAAAAAUUCAAUGGUGCUUGUGAUUUUUGUAAAGUGAAAGGGCAUAAGAAGGAAUCUUGUUACCAUUUAAUCGGGUUCCCACCUGACUUCAAGUUCAACCGUAAGAAGACUUCUUCGGCUGCUCUUGCAGUCUCAUCCGACGAUUCCCUGCUCAAUUCUCAGAGUGCCCCUGUCUUUACUCCUCAACAGUAUUCUGAGCUCUUGGAGUUGUUGAAUAAAAGCCGAACUGUGGUUGCACCUGCUGUCAAUUGUGCAGGUAUCCCUUAUCGUACUCCUUUUUCAACUAAUAAUAAUUUUUCUUGGAUUUUGGACAUUAGUGCAACUAAUCAUAUAUGCUUUGAUUCUACAUUUCUGAAUUUGCUUGUUGCUUACCCUCCUAAUUCCCAUUUUGUUCAACUUCCGAAUGGUAAACACUCUACUAUAACUCAUUCUGGUUCUUUGUCACUAUCUCCUGAUAUCACCCUUACCAAUGUUCUUUGUGUACCACACUUUAAUCAUAAUUUGAUUUCUGUUUCUAAAUUGGCCCUUGAUUUGCAUUGUGUAGUCAUUUUUUACCCUGAUUUCUGCAUACUGCAGGAUCUCUCCAAUGGCAAGAUGAAGGGGAUUGGUAGGCAUCUGAAUGGUCUUUAUUUUUUUGAGCCUUUUUCUGCCCUAGUUAGAUCCCCUACUUCUACUUCUUGUAAGACUUCUAUUACUAAUUCGAUUUCAUUAUGGCGUGCUAGACUCGGGCAUGUGCCUGUCAACAAAUUACAUCGUUUGUCUUUUUUUCAUAAUUUACCAAUUAAUAAAGACUUUACUUGUUCUGUUUGUCCCAUAGCUAGACAAUCUAAAUUGCCUUUUUCCAACUAGUGUUUCUAGGCCAGCAACUCUUUUUAGCUUAUUACAUCUUGAUGUUUGGGGGCCUUAUAGGGUGUCUACCCAUUGUGGCCAUAGUUUCUUUUUAACCAUUGUCGAUGAUCAUACUCGCAUGACUUGGAUGUACUUACUAAAGCUUAAAUCUGAUGUUGUGAUAGCACUCAAACAAUUUUUUCUCAUGGUCAAAACUCAAUUUUCUACUGUCAUUCAAACUGUCAGGAGUGAUAAUGGUUCUAAAUUUUUUAAUUCCUUCUGUUCUCCUUUCUUUGAGUCUUUAGGCAUUAUUCAUCAAAGUUCUUGUAUUGCUACACCUCAUAAAAAUGGUAUUGCUGAACGAAAGCAUAGGCAUCUGCUCGAAAUUGCUCGUGCUUUACGUUUUCAAUCCAAUGUUCCUCUUAAAUUUUGGGGUGACUGCAUUUUAGCUACUUGUUACAUCAUUAAUCGGCUCUCUUCUUCUAUUUUAGCUUGGCGAACGCCAUUUGAAUUGCUUUAUGAAAAGCCCCCUAAUUUUUCUCACUUUCGUGUUUUUGGGUGCCUUUGUUUUACAGUUAACCCCCAUAAUUCUGAUAAAUUUUCUUCCAGAUCCCUUCCCUCAGUUUUUUUGGUUUAUUCUCCUUCCAAGAAAGGUUAUAUUUUGUUUUCUUUGGACUCUCGAAAAUUUUUUGUUAGUCGCAAUGUUCAUUUUGUUGAAGAUGUCUUUCCUUUUAAAUCUUCUUCUUCUGAAUUUCCUGUUCUGUUUCCCCCUACUCCUGACAUUUCGGAUUUAGAUUUCUUAAUUAUUCCCACUCCUACACCUCCAACAAGCGCUUCACCACAUCCUGUUCUAACUUCAGUAAGUACAUCUCCACCUCUUGUCUCUCCUACUUUGCCUAUUAUUGAACCUAGGCGGUCUGGUCGAACUCUUAAGCCUCCUUCUUGGCUAAAAGAUUUUAUUCAUCCCUAUCAAUCUCCUUCAUCCCCAGCUGCUUCUUCUUCUAAUUCUAUUUUUUUAUCUCAUUUACCUCUCAAAAAUCAGGCCUUUGUUUCUUCCCUUUCCCAUAUUACUGAACCUCUUUCUUAUUUUGAGGCUCACCACUCUCCCCACUGGGUUCAGGCCAUGCAAGAGGAAAUUCGGGCCUUAGAAUCUAAUCAUACAUAGACUGUUGUUCCUUUACCUCCAAGGAAGGUUCCUAUUGGUUAUAAAUGAGUGUACAAGGUCAAACUUUGAGCCUCUGGUGAAAUAUAGAGAUAUAAAGCUCGGUUGGUUGCCAAGGGCUACAACCAGAAAGAAGGGAUCGAUUACUUGGACACUUUUUCUCCUGUUGCUAAAAUGGUCACUGUUCGAACCAUUUUGGCUCUUGCGGCUUCUCUCAACUAGUCUAUUUGUGAAAUGGACGUGUCUAAUGCUUUUCUCCAAGGUGACCUUCAUGAAGAGGUUUUUAUGAUCUUGCCUAAGGGUUUCCGCAACUAGUGGGAGCAUAUGGUAUGUCGGCUGCAGAAAUCUUUGUAUGGGUUGAAGCAGGCAUCCAGACAAUGGAAUGCUAAGCUUACUGAAGCUCUUAUGUUGGCUGGUUUUGAGCAGAGUAAGUUUGACUAUUCUCUUUUUGUUAAAAAGAAAGAAGGCAAGAUGGUCAUAAUACUAGUCUAUGUUGAUGAUCUUCUUAUUACUAGAAAUGAUAUGGAUAUGAUCAAUGACUUGAAAGGAGUCCUGAAUCAAAAUUUCAAGAUGAAAGAUUUAGGAGAUUUACGGUACUUUCUUGGGAUUGAGAUUUUAAGGUCUCAAGAGGGGAUUUUUUUAAAUUAGCUGAAAUAUGCACAAGACCUUAUCAAGGAUACUGGUUUAAGUAAAGAAAAAGUUGCUCUUACACCACUUGAACAGAAUCAGAAACUAACAACAGCAGAGUUUGAUGAAGUAGUUCAACAGCAUCAAGACAACAAGUUGUUAGAAGAUAAAGCAGUUUAUCAGAGACUCAUUGGAAGGCUAAUCUACUUGACCCAUACAAGGCCAGAUAUCACCUUUGCUGUUACUCAUCUUAGUCAGUUCAUGAAAAGUCCAAAACAGUCACAUAUGGAAGCAGUGUUAAGAGUUGUAAGGUAUAUAAAGAAAGAGCCAGGGCUAGGAAUAUUUUUGAAGGCUUUCAACAAACAUCAGUUGGUAGCAUAUUGUGAUUCAGAUUGGGCUUCUUGUCCAAUGUCAAGAAGAUCAGUUUCUGGUUUUUGUGUACACUUAGGAGACUCACUUAUUUCCUGGAAAUCGAAGAAACAAUGCACAGUAUCAAAAUCCUCUGCAGAAGCCGAGUACAGAAGAUGGCAACAGUAACAUCAGAACUGGUUUGGCUUUCAGGUUUAUUCAAGGAACUGGAGAUAGUAGGUAAACCAAUGAAACUGUUCUGUGACAAUAAAGCAGCUCUUCAAAUAGCAGCGAAUCCUAUGUAUCAUGAAAGGACUAAGAACAUUGAAAUUGAUUGUCAUUUUAUAAGAGAAAAAAUACAAGAAGGGCUUAUAGCUACUGAACAUGUGCCGACUGCAGAUCAACUUGCAGAUGUUAUGACAAAAGCUUUGGAGUCACAACAGCACAGUCAUCUAAUUUCCAAGUUGGGGUUAAAAAAUAUUUUUAUACCUCCAAUUGAGGGGGGUGUAGAGGUGUAGAAAGAAUUAUAAGCUGGUAGAAUAGUUUGUUUUUCUGUUUUUGAUUAGUUAAGUAUUGAGAUACUAUAAAUAUUUAAUUGUAUUCUUAUGAAAUAAGAUAGAAGCAUUUUUUUUAAAAAAAUAUUUUAAUAAGGUCCUAGUGGUUGUAGAACUCGAAACCAUUAAUUCUUGUCUUAAGCCUUAUUUUUGCUAGUUUAGGCUUAGAUAAAGGAAUGCGUUUUGACUAUUAGUGAGGGAGAAUAAAUGAGAGAAAAAAAAAGGAAAUAAAGAAAGAGGGAG